AUUGAACGCUGGCGGCAGGCUUAACACAUGCAAGUCGAGCGGGGUGAUGGUGCUUGCACUAUCACUUAGCGGCGGACGGGUGAGUAAUGCUUAGGAAUCUGCCUAUUAGUGGGGGACAACAUCUCGAAAGGGAUGCUAAUACCGCAUACGUCCUACGGGAGAAAGCAGGGGAUCACUUGUGACCUUGCGCUAAUAGAUGAGCCUAAGUCGGAUUAGCUAGUUGGUGGGGUAAAGGCCUACCAAGGCGACGAUCUGUAGCGGGUCUGGGAGGAUGAUCCGCCACACUGGGACUGAGACACGGCCCAGAAUCCUACGGGAGGCAGCAGUGGGGAAUAUUGGACAAUGGGGGGAACCCUGAUCCAGCCAUGCCGCGUGUGUGAAGAAGGCCUUAUGGUUGUAAAGCACUUUAAGCGAGGAGGGGGCUCUUUUGGUUAAUACCCAAGAUGAGUGGACGUUACUCGCAGAAUAAGCACCGGCUAACUCUGUGCCAGCAGCCGCCGUAA
Molecule: ribosomal RNA, 503 nt
Filed under: uncultured bacterium
Lineage: Bacteria
Description: partial 16S ribosomal RNA
Rfam family: Bacterial small subunit ribosomal RNA
Source: RNAcentral